AGAGUUUGAUCCUGGCUCAGGACGAACGCUGGCGGCGUGCCUAACACAUGCAAGUCGAACGGGGAGUUAUUUAUAACUCCUAGUGGCGAACGGGUGAGUAACGCGUAGACAACCUGCCUCUAAACUGGGGACAACACCGCGAAAGUGGUGCUAAUACCGAAUGUGGUAUCUUGAUCGCAUGAUCGAGAUAAGAAAGAUGGCCUCUAUUUAUAAGCUAUCGAUUAGAGAUGGGUCUGCGUCUGAUUAGCUAGUUGGUGAGGUAAUGGCUCACCAAGGCGACGAUCGGUAGCUGGUCUGAGAGGACGACCAGCCACACUGGGACUGAGACACGGCCCAGACUCCUACGGGAGGCAGCAGUGGGGAAUUUUGGACAAUGGGGGCAACCCUGAUCCAGCCAUGCCGCGUGUGUGAAGAAGGCCUUCGGGUUGUAAAGCACUUUCGGACGGAACGAAAUCGCGCGGUCUAAUAAGCCGCGUGGAUGACGGUACCGUAAGAAGAAGCACCGGCUAACUACGUGCCAGCAGCCGCGGUAAUACGUAGGGUGCGAGCGUUAAUCGGAAUUACUGGGCGUAAAGUGUGCGCAGGCGGCAAAGCAAGUCGAGUGUGAAAGCCCCGGGCUUAACUUGGGAAUUGCGCUCGAAACUAUUUUGCUGGAGUGUGGCAGAGGAAGGUGGAAUUCCACGUGUAGCGGUGAAAUGCG
Molecule: ribosomal RNA, 700 nt
Filed under: uncultured bacterium
Lineage: Bacteria
Description: partial 16S ribosomal RNA
Rfam family: Bacterial small subunit ribosomal RNA
Source: RNAcentral